Molecule: ribosomal RNA, 490 nt
Filed under: uncultured bacterium
Lineage: Bacteria
Description: partial 16S ribosomal RNA
Rfam family: Bacterial small subunit ribosomal RNA
Source: RNAcentral
AUUGAACGCUGGCGGCAGGCCUAACACAUGCAAGUCGAACGGUAACAGGAAGAAGCUUGCUUCUUUGCUGACGAGUGGCGGACGGGUGAGUAAUGUCUGGGAAACUGCCUGAUGGAGGGGGAUAACUACUGGAAACGGUAGCUAAUACCGCAUAACGUCGCAAGACCAAAGAGGGGGACAUUCUGGCCUCUUGCCCUCGGAUGUGCCCAGAUGGGAUUAGCUAGUAGGUGGGGUAACGGCUCACCCAGGCGACGAUCCGUAGCUGGUCUGAGAGGAUGACCAGCCACACUGGAACUGAGACACGGUCCAGACUCCUACGGGAGGCAGCAGUGGGGAAUAUUGCACAAUGGGCGCAAGCCUGAUGCAGCCAUGCCGCGUGGAUGAAGAAGGCCUUCGGGUUGUAAAGUACUUUCAGCGGGGAGGAAGGGAGUAAAGUUAAUACCUUUGCUCAUUGACGUUACCCGCAGAAGAAGCACCGGCUAACUCCGUG